This 467-nucleotide ribosomal RNA is filed under the name uncultured bacterium. RNAcentral's name for it is "bacterial SSU rRNA". It matches the Rfam family "Bacterial small subunit ribosomal RNA", at positions 28 to 493 of the family's 1533-position model. The record is from RNAcentral.
GAUGAACGCUGGCGGCGUGCUUAACACAUGCAAGUCGAACGAAGCACUCUAUUUGAUUUUCUUCGGAGAUGAAGAUUUUGUGACUGAGUGGCGGACGGGUGAGUAACGCGUGGGUAACCUGCCUCAUACAGGGGGAUAACAGUUGGAAACGACUGCUAAUACCGCAUAAGCGCACGGUACCGCAUGGUACCGUGUGAAAAACUCCGGUGGUAUGAGAUGGACCCGCGUCUGAUUAGCUAGUUGGUGGGGUAACAGCCUACCAAGGCGACGAUCAGUAGCCGACCUGAGAGGGUGACCGGCCACAUUGGGACUGAGACACGGCCCAAACUCCUACGGGAGGCAGCAGUGGGGAAUAUUGCACAAUGGGGGAAACCCUGAUGCAGCGACGCCGCGUGAACGAAGAAGUAUUUCGGUAUGUAAAGUUCUAUCAGCAGGGAAGAUAAUGACGGUACCUGACUAAGAAGCAC